GGCCUCCCUGCCUAGGUUACAUGCAGUGGUCAUCCCGGUCGCUCCCACACCCGUGUGGGCUCUGGGAUCCCCUCUUCCAGCCAGCCCAGGGGACAUCUGGCUGUCUCAGGACCCAGCCAUCUGUAAAAAUUAGGCAGGUCCCUUCAGUAUGCUCCUGGUCAACAAAGAAAAACUUCAAUUUUGAGAAUGGCAUCUGUAUUCCGAAGUGUUCUCUCAGAUGUUUGAGUUCCACUAAGUAGGGGAAGAAGAUGCUGCAUACAGGAUGGAAUAUCCAGGGGAAGACGUCUAAGGAGAGAUGCCCAGCUGGGAGUCCUAUGCAAGGGGAAGAAGAUGCUGCAUACAGGAUGGGAUAUCCAGGGGAAGAUUUCUAAGAAGAGAUGCCCAGCUGGGAGUCCUAUGCAAGGGGAAGAAGAUGCUGCAUACAGGAUGGGAUAUCCAGGGGAAGAUUUCUAAGGAGAGACACCCGGCUGGAAGUCAAGAUAUGUCAGUUGUUUCCAUUAUAAUAAAACCACUCAUGUUAGAUGAGCUGAACUUUCCCUUUUCCCCAGUUCUUACGAUCAAAAAGUGGCUGUCCUAAAUUUCAUCACUCAAUAUCCUUGCUAGAGUCUUCCUUUGUCAGCCAGGCUGGAGUGCAAUGUGCAAUGGCACAAUCUUGGCUCACUGCAACCUCUGUCUCCUGGGCUCAAGCAAUUCUUCUGCCUCAGCCUCCUGAGUAGCUGGGAUUACAGUUCCAGGUACUGAAUAGAAGCUUUACAAAAGAUCCCGGUACCGGUAAUAGCCCUGGGGCGCCCACUUCACGGGGCCUGCAGGAAGUCCUGGGAAGGGACUGUUUCCACAAGUGGAACAAGUGGGCCCCCCACUGCCCUCGCUGCCUGCCCCUCUCUCCUCAUUAAACCUUCAGAGAACACAAAGGAGCCGAGAGCCCCUUUUCUCUCCAUCUUCCAAAGAAGACUUUUCAGUAUAAAAGGUGCCCUAAAUCCUUUGUGAUGCCGCCCACAAGCAGCGUGCGCUGACACAAAGCAACGCCGCCGGCCACUGCUGCCUGCAGACAAGAGGCCGACUCUUGUCCUCGUCUCGGGUCCCAAGAACGGGAGUAAGUUUGUGGACUGGCACGCAGACUUGUGUGCGGGGCAGCCCCUGGAGACACAGGCAGCUGCGAUGUGAGUGUGUCAGGCAGAGGUUCAGCUUUACGUCAGUGUUAAAGAAAAAAACCUGUGAAGAAACUAUUCAAGACAUGCAAAAGGAAGUGUUUCCCACGCACCCAGGGCAGGAUGCUCGGUGAGGGGUGGUGGAGCCGUAGAGCAAACAUCCUUCGAGAGCCAAAUGUGCGUGACCUUUGACCUUUCCCCUUCAGGAGUGUACAGUGAGGGAAUACUCGGGUAAGCACAGAAACACCUGCAAAAACAACUCACACAUUCGCCAGCAGGGAGUCGGUCAAACCAACCAGGCCCAGGCUGUGGAAUGUUAGGCGGCGGUUAAAAGUCACGAGAUACGCACCUUCAGAUGGGAAAGAUGGACACCACCUGUCUCAGCGGGAGAAAGACAGCUGCAGAAGCUUCACACAAUUUAGCCCGAUUCCCACGAAUAAACAGAAGAAAGGGCAGACAAGUUUGUACCGACGGAGGAAGGCACUGGGACCCCGCUUCAGUCGGGCACGAGUUUCCCCCAGAGAGGGGAGGAGGCAGGCAGAGGACUUCACUUUCUAUGUAAUCUUUGCCUACAGAGUUUGACGUUUUGUAACUGUCCUGUAUAAUUUGUCAUCUGAAAGCCUGAAAAAAAUAGCCAAUUAAAAAGCUGCCAUUGGUGAUGAGAAAGAACGAAGCUAUUGCCACGGGUGGAGGAGGGGCUUCUGCAGAUCGGCCCCCGGCCCUGCACCUUCUGCCUCCCAUCAGGGCUGAGUCUCCUCAGGCGGCUGAAUAUUUCCCACCUCAGGCAAAUGGACACUAAGCUCCUGAGUCAGACAAAACAGUGACUCCCUGGAGGGCUGUGUGCCCAGCCCCUUCUCCCCCUUCCCACCUGCUUUGCUCUUAGGAAAGUCACCAAAGGCUGGUUGGUGUGGCUCAUUCUAGGUUUGACUCCUUAGGAAUGUGGCUUUUACCAGCGUGCUGUAUCCCUCCUGACAACACAGCCAUCUGGUGGAGCGUGGAGUUCAUUGGAAAUGCAUUUUAUUUGCUUGUAGCAUACAUGUGGCUAAGGCUCAGCACACACGGAGAUUCGCAUAUGUGUGCACACGCCCCACGCACACACCCACACACGCAUGUGCAUCACAUGAACGCGCGUGCACACACACACUCCUGCACUCAGUCCUGCUCUAUUAACAGGUUCUUGGGCUCUGCAGAGCUGACAGAGGCCGUGUUGGGUGCGGCAGGACAAGGCUGGGCGUGCAGGCGCCUCCUCCACAGGGCACUGCUCAUGCGUCACAGCUGCCAGACGGAGGCUCCCCAAUGGCGACGCUCUGACAGGGGUCCGUGACUCUCCUCAGGGAGAGGUGGCUGUUUCCAAUGUCCUCCCUGGUGCCCUGUGGCUGGCAGGACCCUGCCCACCCUCUCCCUCCCCGUCCAAGCUCUGUUUUCAUCUGAAUGCAGCAGCCACGACUAACACGCCAAGUGUGUCCUCCAUGCUCCAGAGCCUCAGAUCUGGUCAGAGCAAGUUCUUACUCAGCAUGCAGAUGUGAAGUCAGGCUUUAUUGAAGUAUUUACACAGCUCAUUCCCGCCACGUGGAGGAGUCUGCGACAUUCCACACACAAUGACAGUUAAAGACACCUGCUGACCACUGGGUCCUGCUUCCCCUGCUCACCAGGCAUCUGUCAGGAAACAGCCGGCCCCUCUACCAGGAGAAACCAGUCAGCUCCGCUGAACAGUGGCACAUGUGCGGUUGAGGGGAGAUUGUCCCCUGAGCACACCUGAUGACUGAUGACUGCCCACACCCAACCACCGACCAUCAACAACCAGUGCCUGGUAACCACCUGACACGUCCACUCACGCCCACUUCCUCAGCGUCCCCUCUGGGUCACAGCUCAGUGUCGGCACCUGGCCACUGACCCAACACCUUCAGUUACCACAAAUCUUUGUUUCCUCAAAAACCUGAGAGUAGGUGGGGGAUGCUCCCUUUUGUCCUUUGAAAGCUGGGCAAGGCUGGGGGUGGGUCUGUCCAAACCCUACAGGGGAGGAACAGCCGAGGGGCCGCACUGAACCUGGGGUCUGCAGCGUCCACCUGCCUCCCUCUCGCUCCACAUGCUCAGCCGUCCUUUCCUGGGCACCUGGCCUGGGCCGUUUACUCCCCAGUAUCCGUCUGUGAUGGAUCCUCUGCGGCCCCCAGAAAUGGUGGGUUGUUCUGUAGAUCCGACCGCCUCACCUGUCUCCCCAAACCAACCUCGGGUUCAUUCUCCCAGAAGUCCAGGGAUGAGCUUGUUGCAGCAGAGGGGUGUGGCCGGCGUGGCCCAGGGUGUGCAGGACAGGGUGCGGACCUUUGGGGAUUGAGGGGUCUCUGGACACUGCUGCUUUGCUGUCCUAACAGCCCCUCUGUCCGGCCUCAUUUUACCGGGGAUAUGGGUUUUGCAAACCAAGGUGACACUGACAGGAUGUGUGAGCUUCCCUGUGGCUGCCUCCCGGCACAGCUGUCCCGACCUUUGACAUCGCGCCCCAGCUGGGGUCUGUGAUGCCACCAAUGCACAGGAACAAGACAUUCAUUUUUAAGGGAAAAGUGGAGUCAAAUGUGCUCAGAACAACUGAGUCCCACAGUCGGGGCACCUGGGCCAGGGCUGGGCAGCUUGCUGAGGUCCAUCGAGCGCUGUGGGGGCCAGGGCUUGGCACACACAUGGAGACUGUGCCCUGAUAUCCCCACCCUUCUGCAGCUGGCUCAGCAACGUCCCCAGACACCCUCCCCACAUCUGCAAACCACCCUUCGCCUGAAGGAGCAGCCGCUAGGGCUGCUGAGCGCCAGCUCUGGGGAGGAGGGCUUGAAACAGUUUUAUAUGUUGUUAAAAUAAUUCUUAUCCUAAGAUUAUUUUUGUUAAAAAGAGAAUAGGUUUCCGGUUCCCACUCAGCUGUAUCCCGCACCCCACGUAACCCCAUCACCAGGGGCCCGCAGGCCUGGCCGCAGCUGGCCUGGGGCUGAGCGUCAGGCUCUGCGGCUCCCACAGGGCGGCAGGUGACCUCCUGAGGCAGAGCCAGAGCUGCUGAGGGUCCCACGGAACACCUGUGUGGAGAGGUCCCCUCCUUCAUGACCUUGCUCUCCUGAUCUGGUUGUCUCCUCAGCCCGCCUUCCGUGGGGAGGCAAAACAGCCCUGUGGAGUUGGGUGGGGCAGGGCUCAGCCGGGCCGGGUGGGCGCCCCAAGAGAGAGGACGGGCUGCCCUCCUGUUGAUUUCUCCUGGUCCUAACGUCAGGGGGGCCCUGACUGGCUUCCCUCUGUCCUGCAGAUGAGGGGGCUACCCUUAUGGGACCUGGGAGGCCGCCCUGAUGUGGGACGGAUGUCACCCGGUGGUCGCCCAGGCUCGUGCUGGGCCACACAACUGCGUUUCCACAUUUCCUCCUUGGCUCCCCUAUUCUCUUGGGCCGGGCGCAGUGGCUCACGCCUUAAUCCCAGCACUUUGGGAGGCCGAGGCGGGCCCAUCACGAGGUCAGGAGAUCGAGACCAUCCUGGCUAACAUGGUGAAACCCUGUCUCUACUAAAAAUACAAAAAA
Long non-coding RNA from Homo sapiens (human), 4684 nucleotides. Ensembl annotates it as long intergenic non-protein coding RNA 689. NCBI's taxonomy places the organism in Eukaryota, Metazoa, Chordata, Mammalia, Primates, Hominidae. The record is from Ensembl.